RNAcentral lists this ribosomal RNA (439 nucleotides) under uncultured bacterium. RNAcentral describes it as "partial 16S ribosomal RNA". It matches the Rfam family "Bacterial small subunit ribosomal RNA", at positions 339 to 795 of the family's 1533-position model. The record is from RNAcentral.
CUACGGGUGGCAGCAGUGAGGAAUAUUGCACAAUGGGGGGAACCCUGAUGCAGCAACGCCGCGUGGAGGAUGACGCAUUUCGGUGUGUAAACUCCUUUUAUAUGUCAAGAAAAUGACGGUAGCAUAUGAAUAAGCACCGGCUAACUCCGUGCCAGCAGCCGCGGUAAUACGGAGGGUGCAAGCGUUACUCGGAAUCACUGGGCGUAAAGGACGCGUAGGCGGGUUGGAAAGUCAGGUGUGAAAUCCUACAGCUUAACUGUAGAACUGCACUUGAAACUUCUAAUCUAGAGUAUGGGAGGGGGAGAUGGAAUUAGUGGUGUAGGGGUAAAAUCCGUAGAUAUCACUAGGAAUACCAAAAGCGAAGGCGAUCUUCUGGAACAAUACUGACGCUAAGGCGUGAAAGCGUGGGGAGCAAACAGGAUUAGAUACCCCUGUAGUC